CAGCAGCUGACAGGCGGGCCCCGCCGGUCAGAUACACGGUCAAUACACGUUUAUACGCGAUUUAGACCUUUUUGUAACGUCUAGCCCCAGACUUGGUACUGAUACGUAAAAAUUACCAAACUUGGUAUCAAUCUGCUUCCAAUGCCCCAAUUGUGGUACUUCUGUGCAAUUUACUCGGGGUGGAGCUAUCAAAUAUAUGUGUGCUCGAUGUUGGUCUUUUAAUCCGGAUCCCUCGCUGAAGGUGCUUGAUGUUGGUGUUUGAAUACUGCUGCUGUACUUCAAGCAAUGUUCUUCUAGAGGUGUGAUGUUGGUGGUGAUUUUCUUAUCCGGGGAUAUGGAUGGGGCGGGUCUGUGGGCACCAUGCUGACGCGGAGAAGGAGGUGCAGGUAGCAGGGUGCUUGAGGUGAGGUGGCUGCAGGGUUGCUCGAGAAGAACAGGCUCAUCAGCACCACCUAGAUGCCUUUGUCAUCAGCAAUGUGGACAAGAAAGCUUUCAGACGAUACUCACACCAUCCGAUUCCUUGAAACAUGAAGUGUUUAUCUGAUCUGUUACAAUCCAAGGCUAUAUAGAAUGUUUGCAUGUUUUAAUCAAGAAGUCCUCAAUAGGUGGACUGGCUCAAAAUGGAGAAGCAUGCUGGUAGCUCUUCUGUUGAUUGUAUUAAGCAUUUAAGUUCGUAGCAAUUCAUAAUGUCAAUAUCUUUGGGAUGCUUUGUAAUAUUUUAGAAAACUGUGUUUUUUUGGCCUGAUCUUGCGUGCUGUCCAUAGACGUCCCCAUUUCCUUCUCACAUAUGGUAUUGGUUUUCAGAUAGCUUAGAUAUACGGAGACAAUUUGGUGGUGUCAAUUCUCUCUCUCUCUCUCUCUCUCUCUCUAAUAGAAUAACGAACAACCGAUAAGACUAAUAUUAU
Molecule: ribosomal RNA, 905 nt
Filed under: Triticum aestivum (bread wheat)
Lineage: Eukaryota; Viridiplantae; Streptophyta; Magnoliopsida; Poales; Poaceae
Description: partial small subunit ribosomal RNA
Source: RNAcentral